AUUGAACGCUGGCGGCAGGCCUAACACAUGCAAGUCGAGCGGAUGAAGGGAGCUUGCUCCUGGAUUCAGCGGCGGACGGGUGAGUAAUGCCUAGGAAUCUGCCUGGUAGUGGGGGAUAACGUCCUGAAACGGGCGCUAAUACCGCAUACGUCCUGAGGGAGAAAGUGGGGGAUCUUCGGACCUCACGCUAUCAGAUGAGCCUAGGUCGGAUUAGCUAGUUGGUGGGGUAAAGGCCUACCAAGGCGACGAUCCGUAACUGGUCUGAGAGGAUGAUCAGUCACACUGGAACUGAGACAAGGACCAGACUACUAAGGGAGGCAGCAGUGGGGAAUAUUGGACAAUGGGCGAAAGCCUGAUCCAGCCAUACCGCGUGUGUGAAGAAGGUCUUCGGAUUGUAAAGCACUUUAAGUUGGGAGGAAGGGCAGUAAGUUAAUACCUUGCUGUUUUGACGUUACCAACAGAAUAAGCACCGGCUAACUUCGUG
RNAcentral lists this ribosomal RNA (484 nucleotides) under uncultured bacterium. RNAcentral's name for it is "partial 16S ribosomal RNA". It matches the Rfam family "Bacterial small subunit ribosomal RNA", at positions 30 to 507 of the family's 1533-position model. The record is from RNAcentral.